GCGGGCUUAACAGCCACAUCUGUCUGCUAUAACCCUGUGCAGUCAGCCGUGCUGGGGUGGGACUACAACUCCGAGCACAACCUACCUGCCAGACUUUACUAAAUAGUCCCACACCAGCUGACAUGGCAUUGGCUGUUUCUGGAUGAUCUGUGUUUAUUUGCCUAGUGAUGAUGAUUAUUAUUAUUAUUUUAUUUUGUGGCAUUUUCUGUUUUGAUCCACUUGUAUUGUUCUGGUUUCCUUAAAUGUUAACCUGUUGCUGUGCUUAUGUGUAUUUGUGUAUGUAAUAUUCUGGGACAUGGGAACAAAUGGUGUUUGGGAACUUUUCCCCUUGUGUAAUUGUCACUCUCCCUGUACCAUCACAGUCGGGAAUGAAAUACAGUUUUCUCAGUGUGAUGUCAAUAUAUAUAUAUUGGAAUUGAAUAGUAAUAUUGACUUUUCUAAAUAUUUAUUUUGGUUGUGCGGAGGUAACAUUUUACUUAUAGAAUAUUUUACUGCGCUAACUACAUGUAACGUAUAAUAUAAACAAAUGCACAAAGUCACACAACAAAACACAAUGAUAAUAUAUACACAUUCUAUUUUUUUUAUAUAUUUUUUUGUAUUUGAACAUCUUUUUCUUAUUGUUACUUUAAUCUAUGGCUUCUGAAAGGUCUUUGAGAAGAGACAUUAUUAUAAUAUAAUGGUCUUGUUUUGUCAGCUCUUAGUGCUCAGUGAACCUUGUUCUACCUGUUUGUAAAAUUCCUCUGACACCCACACGUUUAUUAUAUUAAUAUUUUCAUUCUAGCCUGCCCGGAUUAGUCACUCAGUAGGGUCAGGGACUGCUGCAUGUUUGCUGGAUAAAUAAGUGUGAUGAGUGCACUACAUAAAUCCUCUGGCAGCUGAUGGCCUCUGGUUUAUUCCUCAGCAGAGGCGUAUCUAGCACGGGGCGAGUAGGGCACGUGCCGUGGGCGCUGUGGAAGCCCCAACAGAGGGGGGCGCCACCGGCACGUCCAGCUCACCCCAUGCGACAGGGAUUCCGCCGGCGGUACCUGCGGCGCUCUCCCUGUCUUCCCGGCUGCUGUGCCUGUCACACUGGACAGGCAGCGGCAGCCAGGAGCCUCCGCUUAUCAUCCCCCCCUCCCUCUCCCUACACAUUGCACUGUGCGCGAUCGCGACGGUACGCGCGACCGCGCCUGCGCGGCUUCGGUGAGCGGGCUUAACAGCCAGUAACAGCGGGGAGGAAGGCGCACAUCGGGAUCCUGCAGCAUGAAACAAGAACCCCUUCGGAGCGCAGCAGACCACACUGAAAAGGGUGCAUCCCCGGUGCGGUGCUCUGCAUCCCGGGUGGUGCCGAAGAUGUGGAGUGUCGGAGGUGGCAGAAGCGCCGCAGCUUGGGAUUACCUUGUCUAUAAAUGCCACAUCCUGCACCAUUCCAAGCUCUUCCGGGGAGGGAGGUGCCACAGACACAAUGAAGACAUUGAUGCCAUACUCCCGGGCUACGAUGCCAGCCUCCUCAAUGUUGUCGGAAGGCCAACCAUCUAUAAAUACCACCAUGACUUUCGGGAUUCCUUUUCGCACCCCAUUAGCAGCAGUGAAGAAGGCCUGAGCUGUGUGUUUCACAGCUUUCCCUGAAAAUAAUGGGUGGAACAGAAGAGUCAUACCAUCGAUGAGAUUACAAGUCUUGUUAUUCUGUUACCUAGAGUUAGUCACUUCUGAUAGUGUCAGUACGAUUGGAUUACUCAUUCUGUCCUGUAUAUUCCAGUUCUGAGAGUAUAAAUCUGGACACAUUUGUUCAGCCAAUUUAAGGCAGUGACUGGAGAUUGGCUCCAUGCAUUGUGCAGUGCAUGGAGGAUCUCCUGAUUAUCAUUCGGCUGAUCCCCCUUUCCUCUAUUUCUGCAGGGCCGCCGAGACAUCAUGUGGGCCCUGGUGCUAGAGAAGGGGUGUGGCCAAUCAUGGGGGUGUGAUCAUGCUAGGCUUGGCAUAUUGUGUAUUGUAAAUAAUGUGCAUGCAGAAGUGGGACAUUGCUCCACCUCUCUGGCUAACACUGGCCCACAUUGGGCCCCAAGACAAGCCUGGAUCCAAGUAAUUGCCCAUUAAGCCCAUAUGAAGAGGUGAGCCUGAGUAUUGUCUUUUAAAUGAAAACUUGUAUCACUGUCUUAACAUGCUUCAAAUUAAACAUCAAUGGACAUUGUAAUUUAAUUGAAAAAUAUAGAUUUCAUUAUUUAUUGAGGUCUCUUCAAUAUACUGUAAUAUGAUAUACUAUAUAUAUCCUACACAACGCUGUCCCAUCUCUACUUGUUGCUGAAGGACUGUAACUGGAAGAUAAAGGGGUGUUUGAAAGUAGAGUAACUAGGGCGUGUCAUCGGAUUAGCGCAAUAUACCGUUUUGUAUAUGAAUAAUUUCACCUGUCUCUAGAUGGAUGCCUUAACACCUAAGAAACCAAAAAUAUGGAUAGGGGCGGUACGAUCGCAUUGAUGCCUACAUCUGUGCACACAGGCAGUUACUACUACUACUACUACUACUACUACUACUACACCUCUUUCCGUUGUAAUAGAAGAAACCAUGAAUACUCUAUGGAAACAUGUUAAAAAGGGAACCUGAUCAGUCUUUGUAUAAUACAUUUGAUUUUAUAUACAGGGUGUCCCAAAAUAUGUAUACACACUGAUUCAGUAUAAAUGCAGAGUUUUAUUAGGAUAUAUUUAAGUUUUAUAAUCCAACUUGAAGAAAACAAGUACAGAAUGUUUUAAGUUAUUGCAGGUGUCCGACAAAAAAACGUGUAUACGUCUUUUUGGGACACCCUAUAGAUCCGUACCUAUAAAGUGGUUACAUCCUCCACAUUCGGUACACCUUCCAAUGGUGUUGCAAAUUAGUGGUGGGAACUGCAACGUGAUAGGAGGCAGACAUAUAUAAUAUAUAUAUGUAAGUGUGUGUGUGUGUGUGUGUGUGUGUAUAUAUAUAUAUAUAUAUAUAUAUAUAUAUAUAUAUAUGGAAUGGUGAUUUUUUUUUUUUAACCCUGGUUAUUUGGGAAGUGAAAGGGGGAA
Pseudophryne corroboree (corroboree frog) is the source of this 3017-nucleotide long non-coding RNA. RefSeq lists it as uncharacterized. The transcript is spliced from 4 exons. Lineage: Eukaryota; Metazoa; Chordata; Amphibia; Anura; Myobatrachidae. The record is from RefSeq and is a predicted model, not a curated record.